UACGGGGGGAGCAAGCGUUGUUCGGAUUUACUGGGCGUAAAGGGCGCGUAGGCGGCCAGCACAAGUCAGUUGUGAAAUCUCCGAGCUUAACUCGGAAAAGUCAACUGAUACUGUGCGGCUAGAGUGCGGAAGGGGCAACUGGAUUUCUUGGUGUAGCGGUGAAAUGCGUAGAUAUCAAGAGGAACACCUGCGGCGAAGGCGGGUUGCUGGGCCGACACUGACGCUGAGGCGCGAAAGCCAGGGGAGCGAACGGG
Molecule: ribosomal RNA, 254 nt
Filed under: uncultured bacterium
Lineage: Bacteria
Description: partial 16S ribosomal RNA
Rfam family: Bacterial small subunit ribosomal RNA
Source: RNAcentral